RNAcentral lists this ribosomal RNA (429 nucleotides) under Acidobacteriota bacterium. RNAcentral's name for it is "Acidobacteria bacterium partial 16S ribosomal RNA". It matches the Rfam family "Bacterial small subunit ribosomal RNA", at positions 355 to 776 of the family's 1533-position model. The record is from RNAcentral. Lineage: Bacteria; Pseudomonadati; Acidobacteriota.
UGGGGAAUUUUGGACAAUGGGGGAAACCCUGAUCCAGCCAUCCCGCGUGUGCGAUGAAGGCCUUCGGGUUGUAAAGCACUUUUGGCAGGAAAGAAACGUCAUGGGUUAAUACCCCGUGAAACUGACGGUACCUGCAGAAUAAGCACCGGCUAACUACGUGCCAGCAGCCGCGGUAAUACGUAGGGUGCAAGCGUUAAUCGGAAUUACUGGGCGUAAAGCGUGCGCAGGCGGUUCGGAAAGAAAGAUGUGAAAUCCCAGAGCUCAACUUUGGAACUGCAUUUUUAACUACCGGGCUAGAGUGUGUCGGAGGGAGGUGGAAUUCCGCGUGUAGCAGUGAAAUGCGUAGAUAUGCGGAGGAACACCGAUGGCGAAGGCAGCCUCCUGGGAUAACACUGACGCUCAUGCACGAAAGCGUGGGGAGCAAACAGG